GGGGAAUGAAUCUGUGGCCUGAGCUAUUUGGACUUGGAACCCUGAAGGUCUGCCAGUGGGCUGGAGCAGAAUGAAGGAACUAAAAUACUAGGGCUAUGACCUUGAUUCCAGCAUAAGAACUCUAGCCGCUGAGAGGAAGAGGCAAUUCUCAAGUGGUGCUAGGAAUCAAGCCCUGAAAAGAAGACUGAACACUAAGAAGACACAUAAAAGUAGACAAGAUAUCCAUUCCAAUGGAUCCACAAAUCUCAAUAUAGAAACAUAAAAAAUAUGAAGUUUACAGGAUCAGAGUCAGGAACGUCCACAAUGACCAUCUGUGCUGGGUAGCUGGAGGAUCCAGUAGCUGCUUAGCCCAAGAAAAGAUGAAAACUGCAGAACAAGACAGAUCCAGGAUGCUGCACCAGUCAAAGAUCAAAGAUCAAUGGCCUGACCGCUCACUGUACAGUCACUGGUGUGCUUCUGCAUUGAAAAGUGGAAGAAAAUGGAGACAGAUGUUGAAAGGCAAUGGUGAACACUGGAGCGCUUCCAAAUUGGCACACUUCCUCCUUUCUCUUUAUAUUCCAUCCAGGCUACAAGCCUAUUGGUUAGUGGCUGCCACAUCUGGCAUGGGUCUUCCUCUCAAUUUGCUGGCCUCUAUGUCAAACAUCCACAGGCACACCUAAAACUGAGCUCUACUAAUCUCCUAGGUGCUUCUUACUCAAGUCAAAUUGACAUAAUGGUCACAGGAUGCUAUUAAAAAUAGUAUGGUAAAGAAUUUAAGGUUUUUAUUUAUUGUUUUUGAGACAAGGUCUCACUGUUACCCUGAACUCCUGGGUUCAAGUGAUCCUGCUAUCUUAGCCUACAGCAUAGCUGGGACUAUAGGCAUGUAUUAUCAUUCCCUGUACAAUUUUAGAUUUUUUCACAAUGAUUUCCUUCCCUCUUUCCUUCCUUCCUUCCUUCCUUCCUUCCUUCCUUCCUUCCUUCCUUCCUUCCCUCCCUCCUUCCUGUAUUUGUUGUGCUGGGACUUGAUCCCAGAGUCUCUUACUGAACUAUAUUCCCAGCUCAUUUCAUUGUUUAUUUUGAAACAAAGUCUGGCUAAAUUGUCCAGCUGGACUUGAACUUGGAAUCCUCCUGCCUUACCCUCCUGAGUAGCUGGGAUUGCAGACAUGUGCCACUGCAUACCACUUUCACAUCCAUCUAUCUACUGUAUCUAUCUAUCUAUCAUCUAUCUAUCUAUUUGAGAGUCUCACCACAUAGCCUAGGCUGGCUGUAAAAUUGCCAUCUUUUUGCUGGGAUUGCAGGUGUGCAUUAUUAUACCUGGCUCUGUCACAAUGAUUUUAAUUGUGAAAAUUAAAAUGUCUUUCUUACCUGCUUACCUCUUAGGCCUCUUCUUACUCCCUUUCCUUCUGUGCUUUUAAGCAAAUCCCAUUCCUGAAGAUGUAUGGUGGUAGCUUCCCUCAGGUCUACAGCUGUCUGCUUAUUUAGCUUCUGCAUUAGCAAACCAGUUCUCGCAAGAAACAAUAAAUGA
Non-coding RNA from Heterocephalus glaber (naked mole-rat), 1504 nucleotides. The record is from RefSeq and is a predicted model, not a curated record. NCBI's taxonomy places the organism in Eukaryota, Metazoa, Chordata, Mammalia, Rodentia, Bathyergidae.